CAGUCGCCACGGGAAUACGGAGGGUGCAAGCGUUAAUCGGAAUUACUGGGCGUAAAGCGCACGCAGGCGGUCUGACAAGUCAGAUGUGAAAUCCCCGGGCUUAACCUGGGAACUGCAUUUGAAACUGUCAGGCUGGAGUCUUGUAGAGGGGGGUGGAAUUCCAGGUGUAGCGGUGAAAUGCGUAGAGAUCUGGAGGAAUACCGGUGGCGAAGGCGGCCCCCUGGACAAAGACUGACGCUCAGGUGCGAAAGCGUGGGGAGCAAACAGGAUUAGAUACCCGCUAGUCCCUGUCUCUUAUACA
Molecule: ribosomal RNA, 301 nt
Filed under: uncultured bacterium
Lineage: Bacteria
Description: partial 16S ribosomal RNA
Rfam family: Bacterial small subunit ribosomal RNA
Source: RNAcentral